RNAcentral lists this ribosomal RNA (255 nucleotides) under uncultured bacterium. Its description in RNAcentral is "partial 16S ribosomal RNA". It matches the Rfam family "Bacterial small subunit ribosomal RNA", at positions 524 to 776 of the family's 1533-position model. The record is from RNAcentral.
GACAUAGGUGACGAACGUUAUCCGGAAUUAUUGGGCGUAAAGGAUGCGUAGAUGGUUCGAUAAGUUACUGGUGGGAAAUCGAGGCCCAACCUCGUGGAAGCUGGUAAUACUGUCGAACUUGAGUGCAGGAGAGGUUAACGGAACUUUAUGUGGAGCGGUAAAAUGCGUAGAUAUAUGAAAGAACACCAAUAUAGCGAAGGCAGUUAACUAUUCUGCUACUGACAUUGAGGCAUGAAAGCGUGGGGAGCAAAACGG